Molecule: long non-coding RNA, 314 nt
Organism: Brassica oleracea var. oleracea
Lineage: Eukaryota; Viridiplantae; Streptophyta; Magnoliopsida; Brassicales; Brassicaceae
Exons: 4
Source: RefSeq, a predicted model, not a curated record
AAGAUCUACUACUACUGGAGGAUCAAGAACACUUUUUGCUGGCAAUCUUGCGCUCCAAGUCAAAAAAUCAGAUAUGAGUUCUUCCAAGAAGCUGGCGAAGUUGUUGAUGUUAAAUUUGGUAUGGGACGUGAUGAUGGCAGUUUUAGGGGAUUUGGCCAUAUUUUGUUUGCUUCUCCUGUAGAAGCACAGAUGGGUAGAACUUUGCUCGGUCGUCAAAUUCGGCUUUACAUGGCUCUAGAAAGUUCAGAAACCAGGUGCUUCGGUGGUAACUUGUGGUAGAUCAAUCAAGAAUAACUAAAGAUAAUAACUAAGGG